Molecule: long non-coding RNA, 350 nt
Organism: Calliphora vicina (urban bluebottle blowfly)
Lineage: Eukaryota; Metazoa; Arthropoda; Insecta; Diptera; Calliphoridae
Exons: 3
Source: RefSeq, a predicted model, not a curated record
AUUCAAACAGUAUUCCAAUAAACUUUAAAGCGUUGCGAGUUAUACGAUCUUGACAAAAAAUAUGAAACUGUAUCUAUUACUUCUUAUGGUUGGAUAUAUUUCUGCUACACCACUACCAGAACCAUGCUUCAUAAACUCUGCUGAUAUUACAUUACACACUAGACCAUCAUGUCUUGUAAACUCUGGUCGCAUUAAAUACGUCUGAACCAAAUAAAAAAAGCUUUUUUCGUAAAUUACGACUUCAAAAGGGUCUAAAAAUGCAUUAAUCUUUUUAUACUCUGUACGUACACUAAUAUUUUAUAUAAGGAAAAUAGCUGGAAGUUAAAUAAAAUAAUGUAUUCAGUGGGUAA